This 221-nucleotide ribosomal RNA is filed under the name uncultured bacterium. RNAcentral describes it as "partial 16S ribosomal RNA". It matches the Rfam family "Bacterial small subunit ribosomal RNA", at positions 118 to 339 of the family's 1533-position model. The record is from RNAcentral.
UAAGCAAUCUGCCCUUCUCAUCGGAAUAAGCGUUGGAAACGACGUCUAAUGCCGAAUACGACCUCCUUUCGCAUGAUCGGAGGUGGAAAGCUCCGGCGGAGAAGGAUGAGCUCGCGGCCUAUCAGCUAGUUGGUGUGGGUAAUGGCCCACCAAGGCGACGACGGGUAGCCGGCCUGAGAGGGUGACCGGCCACACUGGGACUGAGACACGGCCCAGACUCC